AGUGAACGCUGGCGGUAGGCCUAACACAUGCAAGUCGAACAGCAGCACAGUAAGAGCUUGCUCUUACGGGUGGCGAGUGGCGGACGGGUGAGGAAUACAUCGGAAUCUACUUUUUCGUGGGGGAUAACGUAGGGAAACUUACGCUAAUACCGCAUACGACCUACGGGUGAAAGCAGGGGAUCUUCGGACCUUGCGCGAUUGAAUGAGCCGAUGUCGGAUUAGCUAGUUGGCGGGGUAAAGGCCCACCAAGGCGACGAUCCGUAGCUGGUCUGAGAGGAUGAUCAGCCACACUGGAACUGGGACACGGUCCAGACUCCUACGGGAGGCAGCAGUGGGGAAUAUUGGACAAUGGGCGCAAGCCUGAUCCAGCAAUACCGCGUGGGUGAAGAAGGCCUUCGGGUUGUAAAGCCCUUUUGUUGGGAAAGAAAAGCAGCAGGUUAAUACCCCGCUGUUCUGACGGUACCCAAAGAAUAAGCACCGGCUAACUUCGUG
Molecule: ribosomal RNA, 492 nt
Filed under: uncultured bacterium
Lineage: Bacteria
Description: partial 16S ribosomal RNA
Rfam family: Bacterial small subunit ribosomal RNA
Source: RNAcentral